AACCCAUUGUGAGGGAACCUUGUCAACAGAUCCUUGUAUCUCUCCCAUGCAUCGUAGAUGUUUCUAAAUCCAUCUGCACAAAAGAGGAGAUAUCAUUAUGUAAUU
This is a small nucleolar RNA of Gossypium arboreum, 105 nucleotides long. It matches the Rfam family "Plant small nucleolar RNA R71". From Rfam's summary of the family: R71 is a member of the C/D box family of snoRNAs containing the C (UGAUGA) and D (CUGA) box motifs. Lineage: Eukaryota; Viridiplantae; Streptophyta; Magnoliopsida; Malvales; Malvaceae. The record is from Rfam.